UGAGCUGAUUAUAAAAGUUCCCUGUGUGU
This 29-nucleotide non-coding RNA is filed under the name Mus musculus (house mouse). The record is from RNAcentral. Lineage: Eukaryota; Metazoa; Chordata; Mammalia; Rodentia; Muridae.